Molecule: ribosomal RNA, 500 nt
Filed under: uncultured bacterium
Lineage: Bacteria
Description: partial 16S ribosomal RNA
Rfam family: Bacterial small subunit ribosomal RNA
Source: RNAcentral
AUUGAACGCUGGCGGAAUGCUUUACACAUGCAAGUCGAACGGCAGCACGGACUUCGGUCUGGUGGCGAGUGGCGAACGGGUGAGUAAUGUAUCGGAACGUGCCCAGUCGUGGGGGAUAACGUAGUGAAAAUUACGCUAAUACCGCAUACGAUCUAUGGAUGAAAGCGGGGGAUCGCAAGACCUCGCGCGAUUGGAGCGGCCGAUAUCAGAUUAGGUAGUUGGUGGGGUAAAGGCCCACCAAGCCAACGAUCUGUAGCUGGUCUGAAAGGACCACCAGCCACACUGGAACUGAGACACGGUCCAGACUACUACGGGAGGCAGCAGUGGGGCAUUUUGGACAAUGGGCGAAAGCCUGAUCCAGCCAUUCCGCGUGCAGGAUGAAGGCCCUCGGGUUGUAAACUGCUUUUGUACAGAACGAAAAGGUUUCUACUAAUACUAGGAGCUCAUGACGGUACUGUAAGAAUAAGCACCGGCUAACUACGUGCCAGCCGCCGCCGUAA